RNAcentral lists this transfer RNA (74 nucleotides) under Candidatus Colwellbacteria bacterium CG10_big_fil_rev_8_21_14_0_10_41_28. RNAcentral's name for it is "tRNA-Ala". It matches the Rfam family "tRNA". Rfam says of the family: Transfer RNA (tRNA) molecules are approximately 80 nucleotides in length. Their secondary structure includes four short double-helical elements and three loops (D, anti-codon, and T loops). Further hydrogen bonds mediate the characteristic L-shaped molecular structure. tRNAs have two regions of fundamental functional importance: the anti-codon, which is responsible for specific mRNA codon recognition, and the 3' end, to which the tRNAs corresponding amino acid is attached (by aminoacyl-tRNA synthetases). tRNAs cope with the degeneracy of the genetic code in two manners: having more than one tRNA (with a specific anti-codon) for a particular amino acid; and 'wobble' base-pairing, i.e. permitting non-standard base-pairing at the 3rd anti-codon position. Lineage: Bacteria; Candidatus Colwelliibacteriota. The record is from RNAcentral.
GGGCCUAUAGUUCAGUGGUAGAACAGCACGUUCGCAAUGUGCAGACAGGAGUUCGAUUCUCCUUAGGUCCACCA